RNAcentral lists this ribosomal RNA (428 nucleotides) under uncultured bacterium. RNAcentral describes it as "partial 16S ribosomal RNA". It matches the Rfam family "Bacterial small subunit ribosomal RNA", at positions 354 to 796 of the family's 1533-position model. The record is from RNAcentral.
GUAGGGAAUAUUGCGCAAUGGACGAAAGUCUGACGCAGCGACGCCGCGUGAGUGAUGAAGGCCUUAGGGUCGUAAAGCUCUGUUGAAUGGGAAGAAAAAAAUGACGGUACCAUUCGAGGAAGGACCGGCUAACUUCGUGCCAGCAGCCGCGGUAAUACGAGGGGUCCUAGCGUUGUUCGGAAUCAUUGGGCGUAAAGGGUGUGUAGGUGGCCAUGUAAGUCAGGUGUGAAAGCCCCGGGCUCAACCCGGGGAGUGCACUUGAUACUGCGUGGCUUGAGUACCGAAGAGGGUAGUGGAAUUCCAGGUGUAGUGGUGAAAUACGUAGAUAUCUGGAGGAACACCGGUGGCGAAGGCGGCUACCUGGUCGAGUACUGACACUGAGACACGAAAGCAUGGGGAUCAAACAGGAUUAGAUACCCCUGUAGUCC